RNAcentral lists this ribosomal RNA (958 nucleotides) under human gut metagenome. Its description in RNAcentral is "bacterial SSU rRNA". It matches the Rfam family "Bacterial small subunit ribosomal RNA", at positions 8 to 986 of the family's 1533-position model. The record is from RNAcentral.
AGAGUUUGAUUCUGGCUCAGAACGAACGCUGGCGGCGUGGAUAAGACAUGCAAGUCGAACGAGAGAAUUGCUAGCUUGCUAAUAAUUCUCUAGUGGCGCACGGGUGAGUAACACGUGAGUAACCUGCCCCCGAGAGCGGGAUAGCCCUGGGAAACUGGGAUUAAUACCGCAUAGUAUCGCAAGAUUAAAGCAGCAAUGCGCUUGGGGAUGGGCUCGCGGCCUAUUAGUUAGUUGGUGAGGUAACGGCUCACCAAGGCGAUGACGGGUAGCCGGUCUGAGAGGAUGUCCGGCCACACUGGAACUGAGACACGGUCCAGACACCUACGGGUGGCAGCAGUCGAGAAUCAUUCACAAUGGGGGAAACCCUGAUGGUGCGACGCCGCGUGGGGGAAUGAAGGUCUUCGGAUUGUAAACCCCUGUCAUGUGGGAGCAAAUUAAAAAGAUAGUACCACAAGAGGAAGAGACGGCUAACUCUGUGCCAGCAGCCGCGGUAAUACAGAGGUCUCAAGCGUUGUUCGGAAUCACUGGGCGUAAAGCGUGCGUAGGCUGUUUCGUAAGUCGUGUGUGAAAGGCGCGGGCUCAACCCGCGGACGGCACAUGAUACUGCGAGACUAGAGUAAUGGAGGGGGAACCGGAAUUCUCGGUGUAGCAGUGAAAUGCGUAGAUAUCGAGAGGAACACUCGUGGCGAAGGCGGGUUCCUGGACAUUAACUGACGCUGAGGCACGAAGGCCAGGGGAGCGAAAGGGAUUAGAUACCCCUGUAGUCCUGGCAGUAAACGGUGCACGCUUGGUGUGCGGGGAAUCGACCCCCUGCGUGCCGGAGCUAACGCGUUAAGCGUGCCGCCUGGGGAGUACGGUCGCAAGAUUAAAACUCAAAGAAAUUGACGGGGACCCGCACAAGCGGUGGAGUAUGUGGCUUAAUUCGAUGCAACGCGAAGAACCUUACCUGGGCUUGACA